GGAGGUCUUAGCUUAAUUAAAGUAUCUGAGUUGCAGUCAGAAGAUGUAUCUGUAAUUACAGGCCUUC
This 67-nucleotide transfer RNA is filed under the name Cyrtodactylus yathepyanensis. Its description in RNAcentral is "tRNA-Ala". Lineage: Eukaryota; Metazoa; Chordata; Lepidosauria; Squamata; Gekkonidae. The record is from RNAcentral.